This 364-nucleotide long non-coding RNA is filed under the name Chinchilla lanigera (long-tailed chinchilla). RNAcentral's name for it is "lncRNA (ENSCLAG00000024386.1)". Lineage: Eukaryota; Metazoa; Chordata; Mammalia; Rodentia; Chinchillidae. The record is from RNAcentral.
GAAACCUGGUUCUAGAACCCAGUGCAGAAAAAUUAACAAUAUUGCCAGCUAUUAACCAUUCCCAGGGCUGUGGAACAAGUAAAUUGAAUAAGGAAGGAAAAAUGAUUCCACUCGAUUGGCCUUUCCGGGAAUCCAGGUGUGUUGGGGGCCUUUGCGGCAGGAACAGUGUGAGUGCGAAAUGCGAUGUGGUAACAGACCUGUUCUAUCCCCUCCUGGACUCACCCCCUCCCCUCCCUGUCUUGCUGAAUGAAAUAAAACCGGGCUUGACCUCCUGUUUCAGUGUCUGAAUAUUCUUUCCAUUCAUCUAGGUGAGGAAAGGAGGAAACCAUUUACGCCCUAGUCCUAAAAAAGUUUGGAGAAGCCU